GUCUCCUCUUUACAUCUGUGGCCUAAACCACUGAUUGACACCAUCAUUUUGCCAAACAGUCUCCCCCUGGCCUAUCCCUGCCCAGUAUGAGGACCACGACCCACAGCCCCCUCCCCGACAGGAAGACUUCACAUGGGAGCAGGAAUCUGUGAGGAUGUAAUGCAGCGUUUGGGAUGAGAACAAUGCAAAGCAUCAUCUGCAGACCUGGUUAACACAACUCAUUUCCUGAAGUCCAAGAAAGGCCGAUAAAGAGCAAAGUGGAGCCAACCUUCAGUGAAAGUUAUGUCCAGCUGAUCAGUGUGUAAGUAUUUAUUUUAUGUGGAUCUGAAUGUUGGAUCCGUGAUGAUCUCCCAGCACAGUCUGAUCAACCGGACAAGCUGGAAGUGAUUAACAUGUCCAGGUUCAAUCCAGGACUGGUCUGAACCUGGUGGAUCCACCUCCUGCAUCAGGGAACUGCAAACCCAGAGCGGGACGUAGGAGGACAGAACCACUCCUGUAGACCUGGAACAGCUCAAGUCUCACACUG
Long non-coding RNA from Melanotaenia boesemani (Boeseman's rainbowfish), 526 nucleotides. RefSeq lists it as uncharacterized. The transcript is spliced from 3 exons. The record is from RefSeq and is a predicted model, not a curated record. Lineage: Eukaryota; Metazoa; Chordata; Actinopteri; Atheriniformes; Melanotaeniidae.